CAUUCAUGUUCUUAUGUGUCCAUGAAUCGUCCAAGAAAUUAAUAAGAUGAUGACGCAUAUUCUCAAGAGUUGAGAAUUUGAGGCAUGUAUCAUUGGUGAUUAAUUUCUGAAUUGCUCAUGAUCGAUGGAUCAUCACGAGGACGGUGAUCGAUCCACUGAGAUUAGUGCACAGAUUGCUUUCUUUGAUGGACGAGUCUUAAGUCCACAGUGUGGCGACACUGGAGCAAUUGUGCAAGUGCAUGUUAGAGAACAAGGGUACUGAGCGUGACCAUAGCAAGUAGUCACUUGGAUGUCUAUCCACUCGUCAGUGACAUACUUGAUGCUGCAGUUGUAUGACUGGUCCUUUGACCUGCGAUGCCUCGGCUAUUCACAAUGAGGUUGCUGUAGUUUGACGAGCACAUAAACAUGGGCCCUAUCCAUUUGGGUCC
RNAcentral lists this long non-coding RNA (428 nucleotides) under Phoenix dactylifera (date palm). RNAcentral describes it as "long non-coding RNA (PDAC_LNC006955)". The record is from RNAcentral. Lineage: Eukaryota; Viridiplantae; Streptophyta; Magnoliopsida; Arecales; Arecaceae.